UGGUAAUAUUUGGUUACAGUAAGAUCUGUUGUUUCACAGGAAGUCCAGCAGAGGGGCCUGUAAUUUGAUUCAGUUAGUAACUUGGAAAACCAAGAGGGGAAGAAAGCCCAACAUUCUUAAGAGAAAAGAACAGGAAGCAGUGAUCACAUGACAUUAAUUAGCUUCUAGAGUUUUGAAAUCUGAUAAGGUGGGAGAUAGACAGCACCAACCUACAUUUGAUGAAUUAAAGUCACCAAGCUAAAGAGCUAUAUUCCAGGUACUGAAAGACAUUAUUUCUAAAAGUGUGCUCUAAAAGAUUAUGGUAAAUGAACGAAGUGUGGCAGAAACAAAUUAGAAAUAAUGUCCAAAUGUUGAAAAAAAAAUAGAAGAUUUUGAAGUUUGCAAUCAGCAGGCAAUAAACUCAU
RNAcentral lists this long non-coding RNA (404 nucleotides) under Monodelphis domestica (gray short-tailed opossum). RNAcentral describes it as "lncRNA (ENSMODG00000050422.1)". Lineage: Eukaryota; Metazoa; Chordata; Mammalia; Didelphimorphia; Didelphidae. The record is from RNAcentral.